GGGGCCGUAGCUCAACUGGGAGAGCGCCUGCUUUGCACGCAGGAGGUUGCCCGUUCGAUCCGGGUCGGCUCCAC
This 74-nucleotide transfer RNA is filed under the name Blastopirellula retiformator. RNAcentral describes it as "Planctomycetes bacterium Enr8 tRNA-Ala". It matches the Rfam family "tRNA". From Rfam's summary of the family: Transfer RNA (tRNA) molecules are approximately 80 nucleotides in length. Their secondary structure includes four short double-helical elements and three loops (D, anti-codon, and T loops). The record is from RNAcentral. Lineage: Bacteria; Pseudomonadati; Planctomycetota; Planctomycetia; Pirellulales; Pirellulaceae.